CGGCGGGCUAGGCGGGCAGCUACCCCUUGCCUGUACCACAAAUGGGGUUCACGGUGGGCCGAAGCCCGCGGGCGGCGCUCGGAACUGCGCGUCGACCUGGCUUUCGGCGACGAAGUCCUGUCCCACCGGGUCGGCGGCGGCAGGGCUCAGGCCGGAGGGUCUGAGUUAACUGCCCUUGUCUCCCGAACCCCCCAGGGGCGGAAGUCAGCAAGGGUAAGGAGGACGUGCGGCGCUGGUGGCAAACGGGAUGGAGCUCGGGGCCAGCCAUCGGCUCGCAGGGAAGGCGUCAACCGCGGGCGUGCCCGCCG
Molecule: non-coding RNA, 308 nt
Organism: Hadesarchaea archaeon
Lineage: Archaea; Methanobacteriati; Hadarchaeota (SeqCode); Hadarchaeia (SeqCode)
Source: Rfam